CGAGGCCCCAGGUCAGG
RNAcentral lists this ribosomal RNA (17 nucleotides) under Kopsia flavida. RNAcentral's name for it is "partial 26S rRNA". The record is from RNAcentral. Lineage: Eukaryota; Viridiplantae; Streptophyta; Magnoliopsida; Gentianales; Apocynaceae.